This 2045-nucleotide ribosomal RNA is filed under the name Cyclocaris sp. CCZ 004. Its description in RNAcentral is "partial small subunit ribosomal RNA". It matches the Rfam family "Eukaryotic small subunit ribosomal RNA", at positions 117 to 1729 of the family's 1831-position model. The record is from RNAcentral. Lineage: Eukaryota; Metazoa; Arthropoda; Malacostraca; Amphipoda; Lysianassidae.
CCAUAUGGGCUAGAGUUUAUCUUACUUGGAUAACUGUGGUAAUUCCAGAGCUAAUACAUGCAACUGAUAUCCCGAGGAUUUGUUGGUGGCUUACGCUGCUCGCAUUGUUCCGACGGAUGCUUUUAUUAGACCAAACCGCUGAGUGCGUGUCGUUAACCCGGCACGUAUGACUCGUUUAAUGGUGACUCUGGAUAACCUUAUUGACAAGCGCACGUACCCCUUGCUGGGACGGCGCUGCCGCUUUCGAGUGUCUGACUUAUCAGCUAUCAACCGUUCGUUAUGUGCGACCGAUGGCUUUGACGGGUAACGGGGAAUCAGAGUUCGAUUCCGGAGAGGCAGCCUGAGAAACGGCUACCACGUCCAAGGACGGCAGCAGGCACGCAAAUUACCCAAUCCCAGCUCAUGGGGGAGGUAGUGACGAAAUCUAACGAUGCGGGCGCCCUUUCUGGGGCCCCGCAAUCGGAAUGGGCACUUUCUAAACAACCUGUUGAGAACCUACUGAAGGGCAAGUCUGGUGCCAGCAGCCGCGGUAAUUCCAGCUUCAGUAGCAUCUAUUAAAGUUGCUGCGGUUAAAAGGCUCGCAGUUGAAUGUCAGUAUCGAGCGCUGGUCAGGUGGACGCUGGGGCGUGAGAACUCAAGGCGCCUCUCGUGUGCCUUUUCUGAUUCCCGGCGGCGUGUCUGUGUCUCUGUUUCUCUCUCUAUAAAUGGAUCUGUUAAACGGAGUGUGCGUUGUUGUGGCUCUUCGUCGCUACUUGUUAGCGCGGGUUUGUUCGUAUCUUCGGGCAUUCUCGUGCGCUUGUCUGCGGUGUUGCGGUUGCUCUCGCACGUUGAGCUCCAUCGGUUCUGGUGUCACCUUGAGUAAAUCAGAGUGCUCAAAGCAGUCGUAGGGGCCUUGUGCCCUGUGAACAGUCUUGACGGAUUGACUUGGUUUUGCAUGGCAUGUCGGAAGACGACGUCUAGCGCUGGCUCAGAGAUAUUAUCGGUGGUGAAAGCCAGCCUAGACGUAAUGAUUAACAGGGACUGUCGAGGGCAUUGGUAUUGCGAGGCGAGAGGUGAAAUUCUAUGACCCCCGCAAGACCUCCCGAAGCGAAAGCGUCUGCCAAGGAUGUUUUCAUUAAUCAUGAACGAAAGUUAGAGGAUCGAAGGCGAUCAGAUACCGCCCUAGUUCUAACCCUAAACGAUGCCAACCAUCAAUCCGCGCGUAGCACCCUUCUUAACGGGCUCGGCGGGCAGCUCCUCAUUCUCGGGAAACCAGAGUCUCUGGGUUCCGGGGGGAGUCUGGUUGCAAAGCUGAAACUUAAAGGAAUUGACGGAAAGGCACCACCAGGCGUGGAGCCUGCGGCUUAAUUUGACUCAACACGGGCCAUCUCACCAGGCUGCUAACUAGUCGGUUGGAUCUUGAUAUUUGUAUCGGUUGAGUCGUGUACCGAGAUCACCCGCUGUGUUGCGCGUGCGAUUUUCUCGUGAUGGCUGUAGUCCGUGCUUCUCAAUAUACCUUGUGCGUCGGCCGUGUGUGAUGGCGAUGGCGUACCAUACACGUGGUGUGUCGUUGUUGUUGCGCGCGCCGGUGUUGCUCGGGUGAGAGUUGUGCGUGUGCUGCACUGUUGCGGGGGCCACGCGUGAUCUUCGGGCCUCGGACCACACACUCCAAGUCCGCCGCUCAUGCUUAAAACUCUUCUUAGAGGGAUUCACGGUUCUGAAGCCGUAAGAGACUGAGAGCAAUAACAGGUCUGUGAUGCCCUUAGAUGUUCUGGGCCGCACGCGCGCUACAAUGCCGGGCACAGCAGGUGUUCUUCCUACUCCGACAGGAGCGGGUAACCCUGUGAAAGCCCUUUGUCAUGGAUUACUUGUUGGUGUAGUUAACGCUACCCAACGUCUGGCGUGAUUGGGCCUGGGUCUUGCAAUUCUUUCCCACAAACGAGGAAUGCCUUGUAGCGGCGGGUCACUGAGCCCGCCGUGACUCAGUCCCUGCCCUUUGUACACACCGCCCGUCGCUACUACCGAUUGGGUGUACCAGUGAGAGCCUUGGACUGGCGUCCGCUGCC